This 913-nucleotide long non-coding RNA is filed under the name Ficedula albicollis (Collared flycatcher). RNAcentral's name for it is "lncRNA (ENSFALG00000025546.1)". Lineage: Eukaryota; Metazoa; Chordata; Aves; Passeriformes; Muscicapidae. The record is from RNAcentral.
GGAAAUUGGAAAGUUUCCAUUAAAAAUAAUUUUUUCAGGUUCAGAAGAGCCCAAGCCUUUAGGAAACCUGAUUAUUCCCAGUCCUAAUCUAAGUGUGACCAGAACCCCAAAUUUCUUUUCAUCACUAUUUAUUUCAAUACAGUCCUGUUGUUCUCCCAUAAUUUUUUGAGUGCCAGUGUAGGUAGGAAAAUUGAAAUUUUGCCACAGGAGAGGUCAUUUAACUGAGUUCUCAGUGACUUCUUUUUCCUUUCACUUCAAGGAAGGGAAAUUUAUCUCACUUUAUUUCAAUUAUUAUGGAACAAAUCCUCUUGAAAGCAGCUGAACCAGCUCCAAAAUUGCUUCUCUGCUGGGGGGAGUUGACCAGACCUGUGAAAACCACAAUGCAUUGGAAAUAAAUUGAGAUUUAAAGCACAUUUACAGACCCUUGGUGCCUGUUUUUUGCAGGGAUCAUGUGGAUUUGAAGAGGGAAUCUAAAGCCAUGGAGGAUAAAGGUUUCUGUGCUGUGCCACAGGGGGAUUUCAGUGCAGAUGUAAAAUCCCUGGGGCAGGAGGAUGGUGCACCCUUGGUGGACAGUCCUAAACCUUUGAUAUUACCCCUGCUGAGAGCCUUGAAUGCUCCGGAAUUCGCGGUGGAUUUCAGCUCCCUGCCCGACGAGGUGAAGGCCCUGGCUCGGGAUGGCUGCAGGUCCCUGCUGGAGCAGCAGUGCCACGGGGCCGAGCGAGCCUUUGCCCAGCUCCUGGCCAUCCUCUACAGCUCAGGAUUUUCGUAUGUGAAUAUUCUUAAUAUUAAUUAUGUUAUAUUCCUCUAUGGACAUGCCACUGCCCUCCUGGGAAUAGGACAUCCUGAGGUAGAGUAUGAAUUAAUUUGUAUUUUUAUUUAUUUACAUACUUAUUUUUAUUUAUUUUAUAUUUAA